AGCGAACGCUGGCGGCAGGCUUAACACAUGCAAGUCGAACGGGCACUUCGGGGUCAGUGGCAGACGGGUGAGUAACACGUGGGAACGUACCUUUUGGUUCGGAACAACUGAGGGAAACUUCAGCUAAUACCGGAUAAGCCCUUACGGGGAAAGAUUUAUCGCCGAAAGAUCGGCCCGCGUCUGAUUAGCUAGUUGGUAGGGUAAUGGCCUACCAAGGCGACGAUCAGUAGCUGGUCUGAGAGGAUGAUCAGCCACAUUGGGACUGAGACACGGCCCAAACUCCUACGGGAGGCAGCAGUGGGGAAUAUUGGACAAUGGGGGCAACCCUGAUCCAGCCAUGCCGCGUGAGUGAUGAAGGCCCUAGGGUUGUAAAGCUCUUUUGUGCGGGAAGAUAAUGACGGUACCGCAAGAAUAAGCCCCGGCUAACUUCGUGCCAGCCGCCGCCGUAA
Molecule: ribosomal RNA, 449 nt
Filed under: uncultured bacterium
Lineage: Bacteria
Description: partial 16S ribosomal RNA
Rfam family: Bacterial small subunit ribosomal RNA
Source: RNAcentral